GGUGAGUAACACGUGGGUAACCUGCCCGGAGGUGGGGGAUAACCCUUCGAAAGGAGGGCUAAUACCGCAUCACAUCCCGGGUCUUUCGGGACCUGGGAUCAAAGCUGGCCUCUACUUGUAAGCUAGCGCCACCGGAGGGGCCCGCGUCCCAUUAGCUAGUUGGUGAGGUAACGGCUCACCAAGGCGACGAUGGGUAGCCGGCCUGAGGGGGCGACCGGCCACACUGGAACUGAGACACGGUCCAGACUCCUACGGGAGGCAGCAGUGAGGAAUCUUGCGCAAUGGGCGAAAGCCUGACGCAGCGACGCCGCGUGGAGGAUGAAGGUCUUCGGAUCGUAAACUCCUGUCGAGCGGGACGAAUCCCGGGAGGGUGAACAAUCCUUUCGGUUGACGGUACCGCUGGAGGAAGCCCCGGCUAACUCCGUGCCAGCAGCCGCGGUAAUACGGAGGGGGCCAGCGUUGUUCGGAAUCAUUGGGCGUAAAGGGCGCGUAGGCGGCCGAGCAAGUCGGAUGUGAAAUGCCCCGGCUCAACUGGGGACUUGCAUCCGAUACUGCUUGGCUCGAGUCCUGNAGAGGGUAGUGGAAUUCCCAGUGUAGCGNUGAAAUGCGU
Molecule: ribosomal RNA, 610 nt
Filed under: uncultured Acidobacteriota bacterium
Lineage: Bacteria; Pseudomonadati; Acidobacteriota
Description: bacterial SSU rRNA
Rfam family: Bacterial small subunit ribosomal RNA
Source: RNAcentral